UUGACCUCGGAUCAGGUAGGGAUACCCGCUGAACUUAAGCAUAUCAAUAAGCGGGAGGA
Molecule: ribosomal RNA, 59 nt
Filed under: Sclerotinia sclerotiorum
Lineage: Eukaryota; Fungi; Ascomycota; Leotiomycetes; Helotiales; Sclerotiniaceae
Also listed under: 5 other names
Description: partial 28S ribosomal RNA
Source: RNAcentral